RNAcentral lists this ribosomal RNA (440 nucleotides) under uncultured bacterium. RNAcentral's name for it is "partial 16S ribosomal RNA". It matches the Rfam family "Bacterial small subunit ribosomal RNA", at positions 338 to 795 of the family's 1533-position model. The record is from RNAcentral.
CCUACGGGGGGCUGCAGUGGGGAAUAUUGGACAAUGGGGGAAACCCUGAUCCAGCAAUGCCGCGUGAAUGAAGAAGGCCUUAGGGUUGUAAAGUUCUUUCACCUGUGAAGAUAAUGACGGUAGCAGGAGAAGAAGCCCCGGCUAACUCCGUGCCAGCAGCCGCGGUAAGACGGAGGGGGCUAGCGUUGUUCGGAAUGACUGGGCGUAAAGGGCGCGUAGGCGGUUUUUUAAGUGAGGCGUGAAAGCCCUGGGCUUAACCCAGGAGGUGCGCUUCAUACUGAAAAGCUUGAGUGCGAGAGAGGAAAGUGGAAUUCCUAGUGUAGAGGUGAAAUUCGUAGAUAUUAGGAAGAACACCAGUGGCGAAGGCGACUUUCUGGCUCGUAACUGACGCUGAGGCGCGAAAGCGUGGGGAGCAAACAGGAUUAGAUACCCUAGUAGUC